GUAGGUCACAAGCGUUGUCCGGAAUUACUGGGUGUAAAGGGAGCGCAGGCGGGAAGACAAGUUGGAAGUGAAAUCCAUGGGCUCAACCCAUGAACUGCUUUCAAAACUGUUUUUCUUGAGUAGUGCAGAGGUAGGCGGAAUUCCCGGUGUAGCGGUGGAAUGCGUAGAUAUCGGGAGGAACACCAGUGGCGAAGGCGGCCUACUGGGCACCAACUGACGCUGAGGCUCGAAAGCGUGGGGAGCAAACAGGAUUAGAUACCCUGGUAGUCCACGCUGUAAACGAUGAGUACUAGCUGUCGGAGGUUACCCCCUUCGGUGGCGCAGCUAACGCAUUAAGUACUCCGCCUGGGAAGU
RNAcentral lists this ribosomal RNA (354 nucleotides) under uncultured bacterium. RNAcentral describes it as "bacterial SSU rRNA". It matches the Rfam family "Bacterial small subunit ribosomal RNA", at positions 527 to 881 of the family's 1533-position model. The record is from RNAcentral.